UCCUACGGGACGCAGCAGUCGAGAAUUUUUCUCAAUGGGGGAAACCCUGAAGGAGCGACGCCGCGUGGAGGAUGAAGGUCUUCGGAUUGUAAACUCCUGUCAUUAGGGAACAAUUGUCACGCGUUAACUGCGCGGGGCUUGAUAGUACCUGAAGAGGAAGAGACGGCUAACUCUGUGCCAGCAGCCGCGGUAAUACAGAGGUCUCAAGCGUUGUUCGGAUUCAUUGGGCGUAAAGGGUGCGUAGGUGGCGUUGUAAGUCAGGUGUGAAAUCUCGGGGCUCAACCCCGAAACUGCACUUGAUACUGCGAUGCUCGAGUACUGGAGAGGAGAUUGGAAUUUACGGUGUAGCAGUGAAAUGCGUAGAUAUCGUAAGGAAGACCAGUGGCGAAGGCGAAUCUCUGGACAGUUACUGACACUGAGGCACGAAGGCCAGGGGAGCAAACGGGAUUAGAUACCCUGGUA
This 462-nucleotide ribosomal RNA is filed under the name uncultured bacterium. RNAcentral's name for it is "bacterial SSU rRNA". It matches the Rfam family "Bacterial small subunit ribosomal RNA", at positions 337 to 792 of the family's 1533-position model. The record is from RNAcentral.